This 2802-nucleotide ribosomal RNA is filed under the name Escherichia coli. RNAcentral describes it as "bacterial LSU rRNA". It matches the Rfam family "Bacterial large subunit ribosomal RNA". Lineage: Bacteria; Pseudomonadati; Pseudomonadota; Gammaproteobacteria; Enterobacterales; Enterobacteriaceae. The record is from RNAcentral.
GGGUUGUGAGGUUAAGCGACUAAGCGUACACGGUGGAUGCCCUGGCAGUCAGAGGCGAUGAAGGACGUGCUAAUCUGCGAUAAGCGUCGGUAAGGUGAUAUGAACCGUUAUAACCGGCGAUUUCCGAAUGGGGAAACCCAGUGUGUUUCGACACACUAUCAUUAACUGAAUCCAUAGGUUAAUGAGGCGAACCGGGGGAACUGAAACAUCUAAGUACCCCGAGGAAAAGAAAUCAACCGAGAUUCCCCCAGUAGCGGCGAGCGAACGGGGAGCAGCCCAGAGCCUGAAUCAGUGUGUGUGUUAGUGGAAGCGUCUGGAAAGGCGCGCGAUACAGGGUGACAGCCCCGUACACAAAAAUGCACAUAUUGUGAGCUCGAUGAGUAGGGCGGGACACGUGGUAUCCUGUCUGAAUAUGGGGGGACCAUCCUCCAAGGCUAAAUACUCCUGACUGACCGAUAGUGAACCAGUACCGUGAGGGAAAGGCGAAAAGAACCCCGGCGAGGGGAGUGAAAAAGAACCUGAAACCGUGUACGUACAAGCAGUGGGAGCCUCUUUUAUGGGGUGACUGCGUACCUUUUGUAUAAUGGGUCAGCGACUUAUAUUCUGUAGCAAGGUUAACCGAAUAGGGGAGCCGAAGGGAAACCGAGUCUUAACUGGGCGUUAAGUUGCAGGGUAUAGACCCGAAACCCGGUGAUCUAGCCAUGGGCAGGUUGAAGGUUGGGUAACACUAACUGGAGGACCGAACCGACUAAUGUUGAAAAAUUAGCGGAUGACUUGUGGCUGGGGGUGAAAGGCCAAUCAAACCGGGAGAUAGCUGGUUCUCCCCGAAAGCUAUUUAGGUAGCGCCUCGUGAAUUCAUCUCCGGGGGUAGAGCACUGUUUCGGCAAGGGGGUCAUCCCGACUUACCAACCCGAUGCAAACUGCGAAUACCGGAGAAUGUUAUCACGGGAGACACACGGCGGGUGCUAACGUCCGUCGUGAAGAGGGAAACAACCCAGACCGCCAGCUAAGGUCCCAAAGUCAUGGUUAAGUGGGAAACGAUGUGGGAAGGCCCAGACAGCCAGGAUGUUGGCUUAGAAGCAGCCAUCAUUUAAAGAAAGCGUAAUAGCUCACUGGUCGAGUCGGCCUGCGCGGAAGAUGUAACGGGGCUAAACCAUGCACCGAAGCUGCGGCAGCGACGCUGAUGCGUUGUUGGGUAGGGGAGCGUUCUGUAAGCCUGUGAAGGUGUGCUGUGAGGCAUGCUGGAGGUAUCAGAAGUGCGAAUGCUGACAUAAGUAACGAUAAAGCGGGUGAAAAGCCCGCUCGCCGGAAGACCAAGGGUUCCUGUCCAACGUUAAUCGGGGCAGGGUGAGUCGACCCCUAAGGCGAGGCCGAAAGGCGUAGUCGAUGGGAAACAGGUUAAUAUUCCUGUACUUGGUGUUACUGCGAAGGGGGGACGGAGAAGGCUAUGUUGGCCGGGCGACGGUUGUCCCGGUUUAAGCGUGUAGGCUGGUUUUCCAGGCAAAUCCGGAAAAUCAAGGCUGAGGCGUGAUGACGAGGCACUACGGUGCUGAAGCAACAAAUGCCCUGCUUCCAGGAAAAGCCUCUAAGCAUCAGGUAACAUCAAAUCGUACCCCAAACCGACACAGGUGGUCAGGUAGAGAAUACCAAGGCGCUUGAGAGAACUCGGGUGAAGGAACUAGGCAAAAUGGUGCCGUAACUUCGGGAGAAGGCACGCUGAUACGUAGGUGAAGUCCCUCGCGGAUGGAGCUGAAAUCAGUCGAAGAUACCAGCUGGCUGCAACUGUUUAUUAAAAACACAGCACUGUGCAAACACGAAAGUGGACGUAUACGGUGUGACGCCUGCCCGGUGCCGGAAGGUUAAUUGAUGGGGUCAGCGCAAGCGAAGCUCUUGAUCGAAGCCCCGGUAAACGGCGGCCGUAACUAUAACGGUCCUAAGGUAGCGAAAUUCCUUGUCGGGUAAGUUCCGACCUGCACGAAUGGCGUAAUGAUGGCCAGGCUGUCUCCACCCGAGACUCAGUGAAAUUGAACUCGCUGUGAAGAUGCAGUGUACCCGCGGCAAGACGGAAAGACCCCGUGAACCUUUACUAUAGCUUGACACUGAACAUUGAGCCUUGAUGUGUAGGAUAGGUGGGAGGCUUGGAAGUGUGGACGCCAGUCUGCAUGGAGCCGACCUUGAAAUACCACCCUUUAAUGUUUGAUGUUCUAACGUUGACCCGUAAUCCGGGUUGCGGACAGUGUCUGGUGGGUAGUUUGACUGGGGCGGUCUCCUCCUAAAGAGUAACGGAGGAGCACGAAGGUUGGCUAAUCCUGGUCGGACAUCAGGAGGUUAGUGCAAUGGCAUAAGCCAGCUUGACUGCGAGCGUGACGGCGCGAGCAGGUGCGAAAGCAGGUCAUAGUGAUCCGGUGGUUCUGAAUGGAAGGGCCAUCGCUCAACGGAUAAAAGGUACUCCGGGGAUAACAGGCUGAUACCGCCCAAGAGUUCAUAUCGACGGCGGUGUUUGGCACCUCGAUGUCGGCUCAUCACAUCCUGGGGCUGAAGUAGGUCCCAAGGGUAUGGCUGUUCGCCAUUUAAAGUGGUACGCGAGCUGGGUUUAGAACGUCGUGAGACAGUUCGGUCCCUAUCUGCCGUGGGCGCUGGAGAACUGAGGGGGGCUGCUCCUAGUACGAGAGGACCGGAGUGGACGCAUCACUGGUGUUCGGGUUGUCAUGCCAAUGGCACUGCCCGGUAGCUAAAUGCGGAAGAGAUAAGUGCUGAAAGCAUCUAAGCACGAAACUUGCCCCGAGAUGAGUUCUCCCUGAC